GGCUGCCUCCCGCUCACCAGCUCCAGCAUCACCACCCCGAAGCUGUACACGUCGCUCUUCUCCGACAGCUGCUGCGUCAUGUAGUACUCCGGGUCCAGGUAGCCCUAGCCACAUCCCAUCGAUUUUAUUACCAUUUGUUUCAAUCUUGAUUGUUUUCUUUAUACUAUCAGAUCAAAUUAAGCAUAUCUAUUUCAAUUGGUCCUCAAGAUGUUCGUCGAAUUUUACUGAAGCGAACCUAAAAGUUCAGUUAUGUCAGGAGACUUGCAGAAGUGGUUAGUAGGGUGAAUUUUAUCAAUUUGUCAUGAGAUUGGAAGAAGUGGUUAGUAAGGUGAAUUUUAUCGAUUUAUUUUGAGAUUGGGAGAAGUGGUUAGUAAGGUGAAGUGCAAUGGGUACAUGCUUAGUUACCAUAUUUACUUCAAGUUUGAUUUCAAAUUAAGCAUAUCGAUUUUGAUUGGUUCUCAAGAUGUUAGUAGAUUUUUAUUAGUGAGUACUGAAGUGAGGCUCAAAAUUCAGUUCUGUCAGGAGAUUGGCAUGAGCGGAUAGUGAGGGGAAUUUACCAGUGUUCCCUUGACUUGGGUGGAGACAUGGCCCUUCUCAGUGUCGGCCACGAGCUUGGAGAGCC
RNAcentral lists this long non-coding RNA (622 nucleotides) under Oryza sativa (Asian cultivated rice). RNAcentral describes it as "long non-coding RNA (OSAT_LNC001018)". Lineage: Eukaryota; Viridiplantae; Streptophyta; Magnoliopsida; Poales; Poaceae. The record is from RNAcentral.